UGUGGAAGUCUAUGAGAAACAUGUACAGGAAUUGUCCAAAAGUAUUGGGGAAUCUCAGAAGAACACUGAUCAGUUAUUGGAAGAAUUGCAUGAGAAGCAAAGGCAAGAAGUAAAAUUGCAAGGAGAAUUGGAGAGCUUGACAGAUUCCUUGAGAUUUGAAAAGCAAAACUUGGCAGAAGUCAAUUCUGAUCGCGAUAGACUUAGAUCAGUGUGUGCUGAAAAGGAUACAACGCUUCAAGUAGCUUUAUUGGAGAAGAGAAACGUGGAAAUGAGGUUGCCACUCUUGGUAACCUAGCUGCAGAGAAUAAUGCAAAAAAGGAUUUGAUUGGGAUCAAUAAUCAGGCGUUGCACAAGCUUCAAGAUGAACUGAAACUGCGCAAUGAACGGUUGCAUGCAACCGAAGACAGUAUGAAAAGAUUGACAGA
RNAcentral lists this unclassified non-coding RNA (425 nucleotides) under Hevea brasiliensis (rubber tree). The record is from RNAcentral. Lineage: Eukaryota; Viridiplantae; Streptophyta; Magnoliopsida; Malpighiales; Euphorbiaceae.